CCUACGGGAGGCAGCAGUGAGGAAUAUUGGUCAAUGGACGGAAGUCUGAACCAGCCAUGCCGCGUGCAGGAAGACGGCUCUAUGAGUUGUAAACUGCGUUUGUACAGGGGUAAACCUGAAUACGUGUAUUCAGCUGAAAGUACUGUACGAAUAAGGAUAGGCUAACUCCGUGCCAGCAGCCGCGGUAAUACGGAGGAUUCAAGCGUUAUACGGAUUUAUUGGGGUGAAAGGGUGCGUAGGCGGAUUGAUAAGUUAGUGGUGAAAGGUUCGAGCUUAACUCGGGAACUGCCUUUAAUACUGUUGAUCUAGAGAGUAGAUGCGGUAGGCGGAAUGUAUGGUGUAGCGGUGAAAUGCUUAGAGAUCAUACAGAACACCGAUUGCGAAGGCAGCUUACCAAUCUAUAUCUGACGUUGAGGCACGAAAGCGUGGGGAGCAAACAGGAUUAGAUACCCCAGUAGUC
This 460-nucleotide ribosomal RNA is filed under the name uncultured bacterium. Its description in RNAcentral is "partial 16S ribosomal RNA". It matches the Rfam family "Bacterial small subunit ribosomal RNA", at positions 338 to 795 of the family's 1533-position model. The record is from RNAcentral.